This 468-nucleotide ribosomal RNA is filed under the name uncultured bacterium. RNAcentral's name for it is "partial 16S ribosomal RNA". It matches the Rfam family "Bacterial small subunit ribosomal RNA", at positions 28 to 507 of the family's 1533-position model. The record is from RNAcentral.
GACGAACGCUGGCGGCGUGCUUAACACAUGCAAGUCGAACGGAAAGGCCCUGCGUUUGUGGGUUGCUCGUUUGGCGAACGGGUGUGUAACACGUGUGUAUCCUGCCCUUGACUUUGUGAUAACUUUAGGAAACUCGGGCUAUUACCCGAUAUGAGCUUCUGCUCCGUGUUGUUGGUUGGAGAGAUUCGGCGUUUGGGGCUGUACUCGCUGGUUCUCAUCUUGUUGGUGUGGUAGUGGCUUACCAAGGGUUUGACGGGUAGCCGGCCUGAGAGGGUUACCGGCGUCAUGGGGACUGAGAUACGGCCCAGACGCCUAUGGGAGGCAGCAGUGGAGAGUAUGACAGAGUGGGCGGAAGUCUGAUGCAGAGGUGCCGCGUGCGGAAUAACGGCCUUCGGGUUGUGAACAGCUUUCGAAUGUGACGAAGAGUGAGUGACGGUAAUGGGUAAAGAAGCACCGGCUAACUACGUG